Molecule: long non-coding RNA, 365 nt
Organism: Culex pipiens pallens (northern house mosquito)
Lineage: Eukaryota; Metazoa; Arthropoda; Insecta; Diptera; Culicidae
Exons: 2
Source: RefSeq, a predicted model, not a curated record
GGCCAGUUGCACGUUCUAAACAACACAGUUCAACCAGUAAUCGAUCCAAGAUGACCGCUAAAACUAUUUUCCUGCUGGCGUUCCUCAUGGCAACCCUGACGGUGCAAAUGACGCCAGCUUUUGAUCUGCCCCCGUUGGGUGGUGGAGGUCUUCCCCCAACUGGGGAGCUGCCGAUAGCCGUUCCGGACACCCACCAUCAUCUGGAAGGUGCCGGUCACAAUCCUGCUCUUGACCACCAUAUAAAUGAGGAGCAUCAAACUGGAAAAUGAUACAAAAAUAUCACACUUCUGAUAUUGACCUACUGGCAAAGCAAACGGAUAAAAUGUAUAAUCGUUAAUCAAUAAACUUCAUUGCUUGCACUUCAA